This 465-nucleotide ribosomal RNA is filed under the name Vreelandella stevensii. RNAcentral describes it as "partial 16S ribosomal RNA". It matches the Rfam family "Bacterial small subunit ribosomal RNA", at positions 338 to 795 of the family's 1533-position model. Lineage: Bacteria; Pseudomonadati; Pseudomonadota; Gammaproteobacteria; Oceanospirillales; Halomonadaceae. The record is from RNAcentral.
CCUACGGGGGGCAGCAGUGGGGAAUAUUGGACAAUGGGGGCAACCCUGAUCCAGCCAUGCCGCGUGUGUGAAGAAGGCCCUCGGGUUGUAAAGCACUUUCAGUGAGGAAGAACGCCUGGUGGUUAAUACCCAUCAGGAAAGACAUCACUCACAGAAGAAGCACCGGCUAACUCCGUGCCAGCAGCCGCGGUAAUACGGGGGGUGCGAGCGUUAAUCGGAAUUACUGGGCGUAAAGCGCGCGUAGGUGGCUUGAUAAGCCGGUUGUGAAAGCCCCGGGCUCAACCUGGGAACGGCAUCCGGAACUGUCAAGCUAGAGUGCAGGAGAGGAAGGUAGAAUUCCCGGUGUAGCGGUGAAAUGCGUAGAGAUCGGGAGGAAUACCAGUGGCGAAGGCGGCCUUCUGGACUGACACUGACACUGAGGUGCGAAAGCGUGGGUAGCAAACAGGAUUAGAUACCCUUGUAGUC